GUAGUCCUGGCUGUAAACGAUGUCGACUUGGAGGUUGUGCCCUUGAGGCGUGGCUUCCGGAGCUAACGCGUUAAGUCGACCGCCUGGGGAGUACGGCCGCAAGGUUAAAACUCAAAUGAAUUGACGGGGGCCCGCACAAGCGGUGGAGCAUGUGGUUUAAUUCGAUGCAACGCGAAGAACCUUACCUGGUCUUGACAUCCACGGAAGUUUUCAGAGAUGAGAAUGUGCCUUCGGGAACCGUGAGACAGGUGCUGCAUGGCUGUCGUCAGCUCGUGUUGCGAAAUGUUGGGUUAAGUCCCGCAACGAGCGCAACCCUUAUCCUUUGUUGCCAGCGGUCCGGCCGGGAACUCAAAGGAGACUGCCAGUGAUAAACUGGAGGAAGGUGGGGAUGACGUCAAGUCAUCAUGGCCCUUACGACCAGGGCUACACACGUGCUACAAUGGCGCAUACAAAGAGAAGCGACCUCGCGAGAGCAAGCGGACCUCAUAAAGUGCGUCGUAGUCCGGAUUGGAGUCUGCAACUCGACUCCAUGAAGUCGGAAUCGCUAGUAAUCGUGGAUCAGAAUGCCACGGUGAAUACGUUCCCGGGCCUUGUACACACCGCCCGUCACACCAUGGGAGUGGGUUGCAAAAGAAGUAGGUAGCUUAACCUUCGGGAGGGCGCUUACCACUUUGUGAUUCAUGACUGGGGUGAAGUCGUAACAAGGUAACCGUAGGGGAACCUGCGGCUGGAUCACCUCC
Molecule: ribosomal RNA, 740 nt
Filed under: uncultured bacterium
Lineage: Bacteria
Description: bacterial SSU rRNA
Rfam family: Bacterial small subunit ribosomal RNA
Source: RNAcentral